This 497-nucleotide ribosomal RNA is filed under the name uncultured bacterium. Its description in RNAcentral is "partial 16S ribosomal RNA". It matches the Rfam family "Bacterial small subunit ribosomal RNA", at positions 28 to 507 of the family's 1533-position model. The record is from RNAcentral.
GACGAACGCUGGCGGCGUGCCUAAUACAUGCAAGUUGAGCGCUGAAGGUUGGUACUUGUACCAACUGGAUGAGCAGCGCACGGGUGAGUAACGCGUGGGGAAUCUGCCUUUGAGCGGGGGACAACAUUUGGAAACGAAUGCUAAUACCGCAUAAAAACUUUAAACACAAGUUUUAAGUUUGAAAGAUGCAAUUGCAUCACUCAAAGAUGAUCCCGCGUUGUAUUAGCUAGUUGGUGAGGUAAAGGCUCACCAAGGCGAUGAUACAUAGCCGACCUGAGAGGGUGAUCGGCCACAUUGGGACUGAGACACGGCCCAAACUCCUACGGGAGGCAGCAGUAGGGAAUCUUCGGCAAUGGACGAAAGUCUGACCGAGCAACGCCGCGUGAGUGAAGAAGGUUGUCGGAUCGUAAAACUCUGUUGGUAGAGAAGAACGUUGGUGAGAGUGGAAAGCUCAUCAAGUGACGGUAACUACACAGAAAGGGACGGCUAACUACGUG